RNAcentral lists this ribosomal RNA (444 nucleotides) under uncultured soil bacterium. RNAcentral describes it as "bacterial SSU rRNA". It matches the Rfam family "Bacterial small subunit ribosomal RNA", at positions 26 to 518 of the family's 1533-position model. The record is from RNAcentral.
AGAACGAACGCUGGCGGCAUGCCUAACACAUGCAAGUCGAACGAACUCUUCGGAGUUAGUGGCGCACGGGUGCGUAACGCGUGGGAAUCUGCCCUUGGGUACGGAAUAACUCAGAGAAAUUUGUGCUAAUACCGUAUAAUGACUUCGGUCCAAAGAUUUAUCGCCCAAGGAUGAGCCCGCGUAAGAUUAGCUAGUUGGUGGGGUAAAGGCCUACCAAGGCUACGAUCUUUAGCUGGUCUGAGAGGAUGAUCAGCCACACUGGGACUGAGACACGGCCCAGACUCCUACGGGAGGCAGCAGUGGGGAAUAUUGGACAAUGGGCGAAAGCCUGAUCCAGCAAUGCCGCGUGAGUGAUGAAGGCUUAGGUUGUAAAGCUCUUUUACCCGAGAUGAUAAUGACAGUAUCGGAGAAUAAGCCCGGCUAAACUCCGUGCCAAGCAGCCGC